RNAcentral lists this ribosomal RNA (469 nucleotides) under uncultured bacterium. Its description in RNAcentral is "partial 16S ribosomal RNA". It matches the Rfam family "Bacterial small subunit ribosomal RNA", at positions 28 to 508 of the family's 1533-position model. The record is from RNAcentral.
GACGAACGCUGGCGGCGUGCUUAACACAUGCAAGUCGAACGGAAAGGCCCUGCUUUUGUGGGGUGCUCGAGUGGCGAACGGGUGAGUAACAUGUGAGUAACCUGCCCUUGACUUUGGGAUAACUUCAGGAAACUGGGGCUAAUACCGGAUAGGAGCUCCUGCUGCAUGGUGGGGGUUGGAAAGUUUCGGCGGUUGGGGAUGGACUCGCGGCUUAUCAGCUUGUUGGUGGGGUAGUGGCUUACCAAGGCUUUGACGGGUAGCCGGCCUGAGAGGGUGACCGGCCACAUUGGGACUGAGAUACGGCCCAGACUCCUACGGGAGGCAGCAGUGGGGAAUAUUGCACAAUGGGCGGAAGCCUGAUGCAGCAACGCCGCGUGCGGGAUGACGGCCUUCGGGUUGUAAACCGCUUUCGCCUGUGACGAAGCGUGAGUGACGGUAAUGGGUAAAGAAGCACCGGCUAACUACGUGC